GGCCCACGUGACCCCCGCAGGCCGGACACUGUGCGGGCCCCGCCCCCAGCCGUCGGCGGGCGCGCGGGGGAGGACGACGCGUGGGAGCUGGUGCUGGAGGGCAACUCUGCUGCGCCUGCGCCUGGGGCGCGCGGUUCAGACCUCGCAAACCUGGCCCCGAGCCAAGCGGCCCCGGAGGUGGCGCUUGGUCGCCGGCACCGCUCCUUCCGGGCAUCGAGUCUCUCGGACUCGUCACGCCAGUCAGUGCCCUGAGGCAUCUCUUCUUCCUUUACCUGCCGCUCUCCGCCGCUUCCACCCUCCGGGAGAGAACCUGUUUUCCGGAGGUGAAGGACUCUGCCUCAGGAUGGGGAAGUCUGCCCCUUUCCCGGGAUGUGUCGCUGAUGCUUCUUCAGAGGUCUCUGGUCCGGGCUGAUGGUCUCUUCCAAACCCUCUCCUACCUGGUGUACAUCUGGAGGAUCGACUGGAACCACGCAGCAGAGCAGGUACCAGCGCGGGGGCCCCUGGAGGAGGGGAGUGUGCGUGCGUGCUGUGAUUCCAGGGCAGGCGAGGGCUCUUCCAGGGUGAGGAUGGUAAGAAGCCCAUGGGCAGCAGGACGCGCUGUGACUCGUGAAGAGGCAUCGAAUGUGAGAGUGAGGGCCAAAG
This 642-nucleotide long non-coding RNA is filed under the name Moschus moschiferus (Siberian musk deer). RNAcentral describes it as "lncRNA (ENSMMSG00000024281.1)". Lineage: Eukaryota; Metazoa; Chordata; Mammalia; Artiodactyla; Moschidae. The record is from RNAcentral.